Molecule: transfer RNA, 82 nt
Filed under: Dulcicalothrix desertica PCC 7102
Lineage: Bacteria; Bacillati; Cyanobacteriota; Cyanophyceae; Nostocales; Calotrichaceae
Description: Calothrix desertica PCC 7102 tRNA-Tyr
Rfam family: tRNA
About the family: Transfer RNA (tRNA) molecules are approximately 80 nucleotides in length. Their secondary structure includes four short double-helical elements and three loops (D, anti-codon, and T loops).
Source: RNAcentral
GGGUCGGCUCGCCUAUUGGUGUAGGCAACUGUCUGUAAAACAGCCGCGUUUGCGUUGAAAGUUCAACUCUUUCCCGACCUAC